AGACCCGAAACCCGGUGAUCUAGCCAUGGGCAGGUUGAAGGUUGGGUAACACUAACUGGAGGACCGAACCGACUAAUGUUGAAAAAUUAGCGGAUGACCUGUGGCUGGGGGUGAAAGGCCAAUCAAACCGGGAGAUAGCUGGUUCUCCCCGAAAGCUAUUUAGGUAGCGCCUCGUGAAUUCAUCUCCGGGGGUAGAGCACUGUUUCGGCUAGGGGGCCAUCCCGGCUUACCAACCCGAUGCAAACUGCGAAUACCGGAGAAUGUUAUCACGGGAGACACACGGCGGGUGCUAACGUCCGUCGUGAAGAGGGAAACAACCCAGACCGCCAGCUAAGGUCCCAAAGUCAUGGUUAAGUGGGAAACGAUGUGGGAAGGCCCAGACAGCCAGGAUGUUGGCUUAGAAGCAGCCAUCAUUUAAAGAAAGCGUAAUAGCUCACUGGUCGAGUCGGCCUGCGCGGAAGAUGUAACGGGGCUAAACCAUGCACCGAAGCUGCGGCAGCGACACUGUGUGUUGUUGGGUAGGGGAGCGUUCUGUAAGCCUG
This 542-nucleotide ribosomal RNA is filed under the name Salmonella enterica subsp. enterica serovar Derby. Its description in RNAcentral is "partial 23S ribosomal RNA". It matches the Rfam family "Bacterial large subunit ribosomal RNA", at positions 711 to 1251 of the family's 2925-position model. Lineage: Bacteria; Pseudomonadati; Pseudomonadota; Gammaproteobacteria; Enterobacterales; Enterobacteriaceae. The record is from RNAcentral. RNAcentral also lists the same sequence under 11 other names.